AUAAAAAGUGUUGUGAAAACGGCGGUUUGUGCAUCCUAGGCAGCUUCUGUCAUUGUAAAAAACAGUUUUACGGCCGAUACUGCCAGUACACGCACAAUCUGCGAGCGUGCGGCUCGGUGAAACACGGAGCGUGGCUGAAAUCAAAUUGCGAUCUCUGUCGGUGUUACAACGGUCGCAUCAUGUGUAUACAGAAAGCAUAUAACAAUUGUGAUAUAAAGAAGCAUGGAAAUGACUUGGAUCCUUUAGAUCCGUCCAACAACAUUUACAUAUUUCAAGAUGACCAAGAAAAUGAACUUUACGAUGACGAUUAUUUCGCUGAAAGUGCCGCGUCACGAAAAUUUCCCAUAAUGCUUGCAGUUGUGAUAGCUUGUAUUCUCGGACUGAUCGUCUGACAGGAGCAGCGACGUCACAUUUCCCUAACCUAUGUCGUGCAAUAAAGACUCGUAUCUCCCUAGCGGAGGCUAAAUAUAUUUCCCGGUGCAUUCCAAGAGUCGCUAUAAGUGACCAUGUUAGUGCCAGUAUACUUAAAGGUGUUUAUGAUUGGCUAGUUGGUAUAUUAAAUAUAUCUACUAGCAGACAAUAUAUUAAACAGUAGUAAGUGAAAGAACGAAAAGAGUGCAA
Molecule: unclassified non-coding RNA, 621 nt
Filed under: Gigantopelta aegis
Lineage: Eukaryota; Metazoa; Mollusca; Gastropoda; Neomphalida; Peltospiridae
Description: uncharacterized LOC121373868, transcript variant X2
Source: RNAcentral